This 253-nucleotide ribosomal RNA is filed under the name uncultured bacterium. RNAcentral describes it as "partial 16S ribosomal RNA". It matches the Rfam family "Bacterial small subunit ribosomal RNA", at positions 524 to 776 of the family's 1533-position model. The record is from RNAcentral.
UACAGAGGUGGCAAGCGUUGUUCGGAAUUACUGGGCGUAAAGGGCUCGUAGGCGGCCAACUAAGUCAGACGUGAAAUCCCUCGGCUUAACCGGGGAACUGCGUCUGAUACUGGAUGGCUUGAGUUCGGGAGAGGGAUGCGGAAUUCCAGGUGUAGCGGUGAAAUGCGUAGAUAUCUGGAGGAACACCGGUGGCGAAGGCGGCAUCCUGGACCGAUACUGACGCUGAGGAGCGAAAGCCAGGGGAGCAAACGGG